AUGAAUAUCUCCAAAGUUUCUAACUUACAGUAUAUGCUCACAGAGAGGAAGAGAGUAGCUUACUGUAGGAUGCUAAGAUCUUUCUGCACUGCCAAAGAGAGGAGUGAGAUAUUCGUGCUUUUGUUCAUUUGCAGGACCAUUGUUUCUUUCGUUUUUGUUUCUUAUAACCACAUCAGUGAAAUGCUCUUCAAUCUUAGCCUCCUUUGUUGCCAGGAACAGUGGCGGCUCCAAGAAUUUGCAACCGGGUAUUCAUGUGUAUUCAUUUUGCCAAAAUCAUUGCUGUUUUUCGAAAAUUGUCACUCUUUUGCCAAAAUCAACAUUGUUUUGUAA
RNAcentral lists this ribosomal RNA (330 nucleotides) under Triticum aestivum (bread wheat). RNAcentral's name for it is "partial small subunit ribosomal RNA". Lineage: Eukaryota; Viridiplantae; Streptophyta; Magnoliopsida; Poales; Poaceae. The record is from RNAcentral.